UGGAGUUAGUACAUUGAAUUCACAAGGAGCUAAACCUACAGGGUAUGGAGUGUCUGCAGCAGCCAACAAAGGGCCCAAGCCAGGACAUGGGGGGUAUGCUAAUGCAGGAAGCGUUAAAGGACUAAAAGCA
Non-coding RNA from Electrophorus electricus (electric eel), 130 nucleotides. NCBI's taxonomy places the organism in Eukaryota, Metazoa, Chordata, Actinopteri, Gymnotiformes, Gymnotidae. The record is from RefSeq and is a predicted model, not a curated record.